UUCGAGUGGCGACGGGUGAGUAACGCGUGGGUAACCUGCCUUACACAGGGGGAUAACACCUGGAAACAGGUGCUAAUACCGCAUAAGCGCACAGGGCCGCAUGGCCCGGUGUGAAAAACUCCGGUGGUGUAAGAUGGACCCGCGUCUGAUUAGCUUGUUGGCGGGUAGGGGCCCACCAAGGCGACGAUCAGUAGCCGGCCUGAGAGGGUGGACGGCCACAUUGGGACUGAGACACGGCCCAAACUCCUACGGAAGGCAGCAG
Molecule: ribosomal RNA, 262 nt
Filed under: uncultured bacterium
Lineage: Bacteria
Description: partial 16S ribosomal RNA
Rfam family: Bacterial small subunit ribosomal RNA
Source: RNAcentral